UGGGCCAGUGAUGGCGACCGGCAGUGGAUGAGUAAAGGGUGAUGAGCAUUAUGUAUCUGGGGAUCUUGGGUCCGA
Suricata suricatta (meerkat) is the source of this 75-nucleotide small nucleolar RNA. NCBI's taxonomy places the organism in Eukaryota, Metazoa, Chordata, Mammalia, Carnivora, Herpestidae. The record is from Ensembl.